RNAcentral lists this non-coding RNA (30 nucleotides) under Homo sapiens (human). The record is from RNAcentral. Lineage: Eukaryota; Metazoa; Chordata; Mammalia; Primates; Hominidae.
AGAGAAACUCGCAAUGAGAUGCUUCUAGGC